Molecule: ribosomal RNA, 384 nt
Filed under: uncultured bacterium
Lineage: Bacteria
Description: bacterial SSU rRNA
Rfam family: Bacterial small subunit ribosomal RNA
Source: RNAcentral
AUUGAACGCUGGCGGAAUGCUUUACACAUGCAAGUCGAACGGCAGCACGGGGCAACCUGGUGGCGAGUGGCGAACGGGUGAGUAAUACAUCGGAACGUGCCCAAUCGUGGGGGAUAACGUAGCGAAAGUUACGCUAAUACCGCAUACGAUCUACGGAUGAAAGCGGGGGAUCGCAAGACCUCGCGCGAAUGGAGCGGCCGAUGUCAGAUUAGGUAGUUGGUGGGGUAAAGGCUCUCCAAGCCAACGAUCUGUAGCUGGUCUGAGAGGACGACCAGCCACACUGGAACUGAGACACGGUCCAGACUCCUACGGGAGGCAGCAGUGGGGAAUUUUGGACAAUGGGCGCAAGCCUGAUCCAGCCAUUCCGCGUGCAGGAUGAAGGCC